AGAAUAUAACCCAAAACUGAGGAGAUUCUUAAUAUUUUCACUUCACCUUCACCUGUCAUGUGCCCAUUCUUAGAAGUUUCAUUAUAAUGGUGCCUAAUUUUAUCAUCUCGACCUACCUCCCACUUGGAGUUUUCCUUAAAAUGCCUGUUCAAAGACUAGAAAACAGGUUGAAUAAGUGUCCACCAUUCGAAGAGCUAUAUUGUCAGUCCAUCGAGAUCAGGCUGUAUGAAAUUCAUCGCAUAAUAAAUCAAUUGCAGUCAUACAGAUACCUACUUAAGGACUCGUACGAUGUUUUGUUUUCAUAAAAAGUAAAUAUUUUUACUGAGUUUACAACAAACGUGUCAUCGUUUCAUAAUCGAAUAAAAUAAUUAACGAGUCGGUACCGAA
Molecule: long non-coding RNA, 387 nt
Organism: Planococcus citri (citrus mealybug)
Lineage: Eukaryota; Metazoa; Arthropoda; Insecta; Hemiptera; Pseudococcidae
Exons: 2
Source: RefSeq, a predicted model, not a curated record